RNAcentral lists this ribosomal RNA (253 nucleotides) under uncultured bacterium. RNAcentral describes it as "partial 16S ribosomal RNA". It matches the Rfam family "Bacterial small subunit ribosomal RNA", at positions 524 to 776 of the family's 1533-position model. The record is from RNAcentral.
UACGUAGGUGGCAAGCGUUGUCCGGAUUUACUGGGCGUAAAGAGCGCGCAGGCGGUCGUUCAAGUCGCGUGUGAAAGCCCCCGGCUCAACUGGGGAGGGUCACGCGAUACUGAUCGACUCGAAGGCAGGAGAGGGUAGUGGAAUUCCCGGUGUAGUGGUGAAAUGCGUAGAUAUCGGGAGGAACACCAGUGGCGAAGGCGGCCAACUGGACGAAUACUGACGCUGAGACACGAAAGCGUGGGGAGCAAACAGG